CAGUCGCCGCGGGAAUACAGAGGAUGCAAGCGUUAUCCGGAAUGAUUGGGCGUAAAGCGUCUGUAGGUGGCUUUUCAAGUCCGCCGUCAAAUCCCAGGGCUCAACCCUGGACAGGCGGUGGAAACUACCAAGCUGGAGUACGGUAGGGGCAGAGGGAAUUUCCGGUGGAGCGGUGAAAUGCGUAGAUAUCGGAAGGAACACCUGAGGCGAAGGCGGCUACCUGGCUUGACACUGACGCUGAGGCACGAAAGCGUGGGGAGCAAACAGGAUUAGAGACCCCCGUAGUCCCUGUCUCUUAUAC
RNAcentral lists this ribosomal RNA (301 nucleotides) under uncultured bacterium. RNAcentral describes it as "partial 16S ribosomal RNA". It matches the Rfam family "Bacterial small subunit ribosomal RNA", at positions 509 to 807 of the family's 1533-position model. The record is from RNAcentral.